RNAcentral lists this ribosomal RNA (1429 nucleotides) under Klebsiella aerogenes. RNAcentral describes it as "bacterial SSU rRNA". It matches the Rfam family "Bacterial small subunit ribosomal RNA". The record is from RNAcentral. Lineage: Bacteria; Pseudomonadati; Pseudomonadota; Gammaproteobacteria; Enterobacterales; Enterobacteriaceae.
UUAGCGGCAGCUACACAUGCAGUCGAGCGGUAGCACAGAGAGCUUGCUCUCGGGUGACGAGCGGCGGACGGGUGAGUAAUGUCUGGGAAACUGCCUGAUGGAGGGGGAUAACUACUGGAAACGGUAGCUAAUACCGCAUAACGUCGCAAGACCAAAGUGGGGGACCUUCGGGCCUCAUGCCAUCAGAUGUGCCCAGAUGGGAUUAGCUAGUAGGUGGGGUAAUGGCUCACCUAGGCGACGAUCCCUAGCUGGUCUGAGAGGAUGACCAGCCACACUGGAACUGAGACACGGUCCAGACUCCUACGGGAGGCAGCAGUGGGGAAUAUUGCACAAUGGGCGCAAGCCUGAUGCAGCCAUGCCGCGUGUAUGAAGAAGGCCUUCGGGUUGUAAAGUACUUUCAGCGAGGAGGAAGGCGUUAAGGUUAAUAACCUUAGCGAUUGACGUUACUCGCAGAAGAAGCACCGGCUAACUCCGUGCCAGCAGCCGCGGUAAUACGGAGGGUGCAAGCGUUAAUCGGAAUUACUGGGCGUAAAGCGCACGCAGGCGGUCUGUCAAGUCGGAUGUGAAAUCCCCGGGCUCAACCUGGGAACUGCAUUCGAAACUGGCAGGCUAGAGUCUUGUAGAGGGGGGUAGAAUUCCAGGUGUAGCGGUGAAAUGCGUAGAGAUCUGGAGGAAUACCGGUGGCGAAGGCGGCCCCCUGGACAAAGACUGACGCUCAGGUGCGAAAGCGUGGGGAGCAAACAGGAUUAGAUACCCUGGUAGUCCACGCCGUAAACGAUGUCGACUUGGAGGUUGUGCCCUUGAGGCGUGGCUUCCGGAGCUAACGCGUUAAGUCGACCGCCUGGGGAGUACGGCCGCAAGGUUAAAACUCAAAUGAAUUGACGGGGGCCCGCACAAGCGGUGGAGCAUGUGGUUUAAUUCGAUGCAACGCGAAGAACCUUACCUACUCUUGACAUCCAGAGAACUUAGCAGAGAUGCUUUGGUGCCUUCGGGAACUCUGAGACAGGUGCUGCAUGGCUGUCGUCAGCUCGUGUUGUGAAAUGUUGGGUUAAGUCCCGCAACGAGCGCAACCCUUAUCCUUUGUUGCCAGCGGUCCGGCCGGGAACUCAAAGGAGACUGCCAGUGAUAAACUGGAGGAAGGUGGGGAUGACGUCAAGUCAUCAUGGCCCUUACGAGUAGGGCUACACACGUGCUACAAUGGCAUAUACAAAGAGAAGCGACCUCGCGAGAGCAAGCGGACCUCAUAAAGUAUGUCGUAGUCCGGAUUGGAGUCUGCAACUCGACUCCAUGAAGUCGGAAUCGCUAGUAAUCGUAGAUCAGAAUGCUACGGUGAAUACGUUCCCGGGCCUUGUACACACCGCCCGUCACACCAUGGGAGUGGGUUGCAAAAGAAGUAGGUAGCUUAACCUUCGGGAGGGCGCUACCACUU